UCCGACCUCAGAUCGGACGAGAUUACCCGCUGAAUUUAAGCAUAUAACUAAGCGGAGGAAAAGAAACUAACAAGGAUUCCCUCAGUAACGGCGAGUGAAGCGGGAAUAGCCCAGCACCGAAUCCCUCAGUGUCAUGCUGACGGGAACUGUGGUGUGUGGGACGCCACCAGUCGCAUCAGAGGGCGCCGAAGUCCUCCUGAUCGGGGCUUCACCCAGAGCGGGUGUAAGGCCUUUGCGGGUGCCUCUCUGUGCGGCCGCGAGCGUCUCAGGAGUCGGGUUGUUUGGGAAUGCAGCCCAAAGCGGGUGGUAAACUCCAU
RNAcentral lists this ribosomal RNA (317 nucleotides) under Helicigona lapicida andorrica. RNAcentral's name for it is "partial 28S ribosomal RNA". It matches the Rfam family "Eukaryotic large subunit ribosomal RNA", at positions 1 to 309 of the family's 3401-position model. Lineage: Eukaryota; Metazoa; Mollusca; Gastropoda; Stylommatophora; Helicidae. The record is from RNAcentral.